AAACUAAAUAGGAUUCCCUUAGUAAUGGCGAAUGAACAGGGAUAAGCUCAACUUGGAAAUUGUGGCCUCUGGCUGCGAAUUGUAAUCUCAAGAUGCAUUGCUAAUGGAGGCGCAGGUGUAAGCCUCUUGGAAAAGAGCAUCAGUGAGGGUGAGAAUCCUGUUUGUCACUUGCAGACCUCCAUGCACGGCGUGCAUUCUAAGAGUCACGUUCCUCGGGACUGGAGCGCAAAUUGGGUGGUAAAUUUCAUCUCAAGCUAAAUACGGGAUCGAAACCGAUAGCAAACAAGUACCAUGAGGGAAAGAUGAAAAGGACUUUGAAAAGAGAGUUAAAAGUGCCUGAACUCGCUGAAAGGAAAGCGGAUGGAACCAGUCGUGCUUGGCGAGAUUGUUGCGUGCAAAGGUGACUGCUCAUUUGUUGCAGCGUAAGCGCAGCAGCGGGUUUCGAUCUGGUCGCGCGCGAUGCUUCUUGCCUUGUUCGUCAUCGUUGGUUUGGGGGCGCGGACAACUCUUGGGACAUGGUAACUUGCCCACGGGUGAGCGAAUGUGCCUUGCAGAACUCACCUCCAAACUGAUGUCUCUUGUUAGGUUCUGUUGCCGUAUACGGCACGUUCUUGACAAAGCGUGGUGACAGAAUGGUUCUAUUCGACCCGUCUUGAAACACGGACCAAGGAGUCUAACAUAUGUGCAAGUACUUGGGUGGCGAAACCUAUGUGCGCAAUGAAAGUGAGUGCUGAGAUGCUUGCAUCAGCAGCCGACCAAUCAAUUGGGAGAGGUUUGAGCAUGAGCAUAUCUGUUAGGACCCGAAAGAUGGUGAACYAUGCCUGAGAAGGGUGAAGUCUGGGGAAACUCAGA
Molecule: ribosomal RNA, 852 nt
Filed under: Cochlodinium cf. geminatum
Lineage: Eukaryota; Dinophyceae; Gymnodiniales; Gymnodiniaceae
Description: LSU rRNA
Rfam family: Eukaryotic large subunit ribosomal RNA
Source: RNAcentral